UACGGAGGGUGCAAGCGUUAUCCGGAUUCACUGGGUUUAAAGGGAGCGUAGGCGGGCUGUUAAGUCCGUGGUGAAAGCCCUCAGCUCAACUGAGGAACUGCCAUGGAUACUAUCAGUCUUGAAUGUCGUUGAGGUUUGCGGAAUGGGUCAUGUAGCGGUGAAAUGCAUAGAUAUGACCCGGAACACCAAUUGCGAAGGCAGCAGGCUAAACGAAUAUUGACGCUGAGGCUCGAAAGCGUGGGGAUCAAACAGGAUUAGAUACCCUGGUAGUCCACGCCCUAAACGAUGAUUACUCGACAUACGUGAUAUGACAAUGUGUGUCUGAGCGAAAGCAUUAAGUAAUCCACCUGGGAAGUACGACCGCAAGGUUGAA
Molecule: ribosomal RNA, 373 nt
Filed under: uncultured bacterium
Lineage: Bacteria
Description: bacterial SSU rRNA
Rfam family: Bacterial small subunit ribosomal RNA
Source: RNAcentral